UGAGAGGGAUGGUUUUGUGGGGAAACACACGAGAGACUGGACUGCGGGGACUGUGCGUAGACCUACAGGUAGCAGGGCCAUUGGUUUGUGUGUGUGCUUUCCUGUGCUCUCUUGGGUUUUCUUUGUUUUCCUUCCCCACGAGCUCACGGAGAAUCCAAAUCCAGGACAGCUGAGGGAAUCCGCGGGGCUCGGAGGAUGGCCGGACGAGUGCUGUAAGCUGACCUGGACAGAAACCUCAAUGGCAACGCUGCUUCGUGAACGAGGAAGCCGGAAGCAAGGGUGCGUUCGAGAGAGUCGGGAGCUGCGCGUCGGUUGGUGGUGGAUGGCCUGGGAACGCGUGAUUGGAACCUUGGGGGUCAGUAGGAGGCGCGUGGUGUGGAUACGAGACUGUGAAGGGUUGCUUGUCAUUGGCAGAGCUGACAGGCAUCCAGACUGGGCACAGUUUGUCAUUUUCUUCUUGGGGGGAGGGAUUUCGUGGGUCGGCUGGGAAAAGCCCCAGAUGGACUUGAUGUUUUUUUCAUUGUCUGUCUUUCAUGUUGAGUGGCCCCCUGCUGGUGAACGAGAAGGUUGCAGCUGUGACCUGCCAGCCAGAAAAGACUUUCUUAUCACUGUGUGUAGUGUUGUACUUGAAGUGAGUGCUUUUCCUCCCGUGUGUUCACUGAUAUUUAUGCUGGCUGUUAUGGCUGUGAAGGAAUUGUGAAAGUGCUAGAUAGGGGGUACAAAUAAAUACUGUUAAACUA
This is a long non-coding RNA of Alosa sapidissima (American shad), 740 nucleotides long. RefSeq lists it as uncharacterized. The transcript has 2 exons. NCBI's taxonomy places the organism in Eukaryota, Metazoa, Chordata, Actinopteri, Clupeiformes, Clupeidae. The record is from RefSeq and is a predicted model, not a curated record.